GCAUUCUGGGAAUGCCGGAGGCUGAGGUGCUCUGGUCUGACGAUACCUGUGUGUGUGGUUGCUCGGCCAUUCUGUCUGUGAUUAAGAGUUUGUCGUGAACCGUUAAUCAGUAUGUGUGACGCACACAAGGGUACGUGAACAUUCAGAACACUCCGCGGCGAGCCAUCUAAGGCGGGAAACGUAGGGAGCUGGACGAAUGAAGGGUUUGUGGCCUCAUUCCCGAUCCAGGAUUUUGGGCUUCCCUGGUGGCUUAGGCGAUAAAGAAUCUACCUUCAAUGCAGGAGACUCGGGUUGGAUUCCUGGGUGAGGAAUAUCCUCUGGAGGAGGGCAUGGCUACCCGCUCCAGUAUUCCGGAGAAUUGCCUGGAGAGAAUUCCGUGGACAGAGGAGCCUGGCAGGCUACAGUUCUUGCGGUCGGAGGCGACUGAGCGACCAACAUUCUUUCACUUUACCGGGCCGGUCGGACCACGUCCCCAGUCGUUUACCCACAUUCUCCAGGCUGGGAAGGAGUCCGGGAUUUUGAGAGGUGGAGGGUUCGGGAAACGUAGCCUUUAUGAUCUCGGUUGGAGGGACUCUUCUUUCGGUUGUCUGCUUCUCGCCAAGAUAUUUGCUGAAGUUUGAAUAAAUUUACCUCUCCAAACCUACCCAUUGGGAAAGAGAUGAUGCUACUUCAGUGAUGCCUCAUGAAGCCAGGUUAAGAAAUCUCAUUGCAAUCAAGAUUUUUGUUAAUGGCUGCUGAAUUGGAAUACAUAAAUAUCUUGAACAGCAUAUGAAUACUCUGUGGAAAUUGUGGUGUCAGAUGGACAUCAUUGUGUCCCAAUUCCUAAGUCAUGAUCAACUCUUUUGCAACCCAUGGACUGCACCCCAGGAGGCUCCUCUGUCCAUGGGAUUCUUCAGGCAAGAGUACUGGAGUGGGUUGCUAUUUCUUCCUCUGGGGAUAUCCACUUAAAAUGCCAUGAGACACUAAUCAUUUCCAGCGUGGACCUUUCUAUGUUCCUGGUGCUGGAACUGAAGCACACAGUGGAGGACGGAUUCUUACUUUAUGGAAACAUUCAUAGAAAAAUAAAAAAGCAAAAAAGUCAGAAAUUAGGGUGUAUUUCCAUCAAGUUACACCCAGUGUGCCUGCCUCUCUUGCCUCCCCUCCCAUGCCUGGGACAGCAAAGCCAAUCCCUCCUCCUCCGCCUCCUCAGCCGAGUCAAUAUGAAUCAAAGACACCUAGGAUGAAGACCUUUGUGAGGAUCCACUUCCACUUAAUGAAUAGUAGAUAAUCAUCAUGUCCUGCAGUUAACCAACCUAUCUGUUAUGUAUGUGUGUGGGUUCUUGUAUUAAAGUCUAGUAACUGCUACAAGAACUGUAUGAGAUGCUGUGUCAUCAUCAUCACCACCUAAGGAGUCACCAUGUAGAACGUCAUGUGCAAGACUUGUGUUGAAGUGGAAAGCCUACCUUAUAUAGAAAUAAGAUAAGUGGCAUUUAAUAUUAAUAAUGUGUUAGUUUUCCUACUGCUUUAUAAAUUUGCUUUCAAAGAAUUACAUUAUCAUACAGUAUGCAUUUCUCUCCCUUCCAAUUGGAGAACCUGUGUAUCAGCCUGUUGUCAUAGGUAGGUGGAUUUUUUUUAAUGUAACAGUGUUUCCAACACUGUAUUAUGAAUAUGACUGUAAUACUGUAUACCAUAAAAGUUCUAUAAGGAUUCAUUCACUGUGUCUAAGCUAGGCCACUGUGAAACAAUUAUAUCAAUUACACUAAGCUUAACCAUAAAGUAAUCAUAUUGCUGCUGCUUCAUUAUCGGUGCAUGAGUCUUUAGAUCUGUGAAUAUAUAAUAUAUAAAUGUGAAUUUGUUUUUCAUGUUAUCUUUUCAUUUGUUAUGUCUAGAAUUAGUAAUUCAUAUUGUAUCUACAAUGUUUUAUCUCGUAUAUAUAGUAUGGAUAUAGGUGCUGAUAGAUAAUCUUGUAAACAGAUGAUAUUAACUUGUGGUAUCAGUAUCAAUAGUCUCUAGUUUAUUAAAAGAGUACAAUCAGUCAGUUUAGUCGCUCAGUUAUGUCCUACCCUGCGACCCCAUGGACUGCAGCAUGCCAGGCUUCCCUGUCCAUCACCAACUUCCAGAGUUUGCUCAAACUCAUGUC
Molecule: long non-coding RNA, 2119 nt
Organism: Cervus elaphus (red deer)
Lineage: Eukaryota; Metazoa; Chordata; Mammalia; Artiodactyla; Cervidae
Exons: 5
Source: RefSeq, a predicted model, not a curated record